Beta vulgaris subsp. vulgaris (sugar beet) is the source of this 108-nucleotide small nucleolar RNA. It matches the Rfam family "Plant small nucleolar RNA R71". From Rfam's summary of the family: R71 is a member of the C/D box family of snoRNAs containing the C (UGAUGA) and D (CUGA) box motifs. Multiple nearly identical copies of this snoRNA have been identified in Arabidopsis, and it is thought to function as a 2'-O-ribose methylation guide for 18S ribosomal RNA. NCBI's taxonomy places the organism in Eukaryota, Viridiplantae, Streptophyta, Magnoliopsida, Caryophyllales, Amaranthaceae. The record is from Rfam.
AUGCCAUGGUGUGGACACUACCUUUGCAAAGCCUUUGUAUCUCUGCCAUGCUUCAUAUAGGGACUCCAAUUCAUGCUGUUGAAAACUAGAUAUCUCAUUUCUGAACUU